This 438-nucleotide ribosomal RNA is filed under the name uncultured bacterium. RNAcentral's name for it is "partial 16S ribosomal RNA". It matches the Rfam family "Bacterial small subunit ribosomal RNA", at positions 339 to 795 of the family's 1533-position model. The record is from RNAcentral.
CUACGGGGGGCACCAGUGGGGAAUAUUGCACAAUGGAGGAAACCCUGAUGCAGCAACGCCGCGUGGAGGAUGACACUUUCGGAGCGUAAACUCCUUUUAUAUAGGAAGAAGAUGACGGUACUAUAUGAAUAAGCGCCGGCUAACUCCGUGCCAGCAGCCGCGGUAAUACGGAGGGCGCAAGCGUUACUCGGAAUCACUGGGCGUAAAGAGCGUGUAGGCGGAUUAAAAAGUCAGAAGUGAAAUCCUAUAGCUUAACUAUAGAACUGCUUCUGAAACUCUUAAUCUAGAAUAUGGGAGAGGUAGAUGGAAUUCCUGGUGUAGGGGUAAAAUCCGUAGAGAUCAGAAGGAAUACCGAUUGCGAAGGCGAUCUACUAGAACAUUAUUGACGCUGAGACGCGAAAGCGUGGGGAGCAAACAGGAUUAGAUACCCGGGUAGUC